UUCGACGGGUAGCCGGCCUGAGAGGGUGACCGGCCACACUGGGACUGAGACACGGCCCAGACUCCUACGGGAGGCAGCAGUGGGGAAUAUUGGACAAUGGGCGGAAGCCUGAUCCAGCAACGCCGCGUGAGGGAUGACGGCCUUCGGGUUGUAAACCUCUUUCAGCACAGACGAAGCGCAAGUGACGGUAUGUGCAGAAGAAGGACCGGCCAACUACGUGCCAGCAGCCGCGGUAAUACGUAGGGUCCGAGCGUUGUCCGGAAUUAUUGGGCGUAAAGGGCUCGUAGGCGGUCUGUCGCGUCGGGAGUGAAAACCAGGUGCUUAACACCUGGCCUGCUUUCGAUACGGGCAGACUAGAGGUACUCAGGGGAGAAUGGAAUUCCUGGUGUAGCGGUGAAAUGCGCAGAUAUCAGGAGGAACACCGGUGGCGAAGGCGGUUCUCUGGGAGUAUCCUGACGCUGAGGAGCGAAAGUGUGGGGAGCGAACAGGAUUAGAUACCCUGGUAGUCCACACCGUAAACGUUGGGCGCUAGGUGUGGGAUCCAUUCCACGGGUUCCGUGCCGCAGCUAACGCAUUAAGCGCCCCGCCUGG
Molecule: ribosomal RNA, 591 nt
Filed under: Nocardioides sp. MS-H7
Lineage: Bacteria; Bacillati; Actinomycetota; Actinomycetes; Propionibacteriales; Nocardioidaceae
Description: bacterial SSU rRNA
Rfam family: Bacterial small subunit ribosomal RNA
Source: RNAcentral